Molecule: ribosomal RNA, 359 nt
Filed under: uncultured bacterium
Lineage: Bacteria
Description: bacterial SSU rRNA
Rfam family: Bacterial small subunit ribosomal RNA
Source: RNAcentral
AACGAACGCUGGCGGCGUGGAUAAGACAUGCAAGUCGAACGGGAUUACUUCUGUAGCAAUACAGGAGUAAUUUAGUGGCGAACGGGUGCGUAACACGUGGGGAAUCUGCCGAGAAGUGGGGGAUAGCUCGCCGAAAGGACGAAUUAAUACCGCAUAUGAUCAGCUAGGACAUCUUAGCGACAUCAAAGCCGGGGCAACCUGGCGCUUCUUGAUGACCCCGCGGCCAUCAGCUAGUUGGUGAGGUAACGGCUCACCAAGGCUAUGACGGGGUAGCUGGUCUGAGAGGACGACCAGUCACACUGGAACUGAGACACGGUCCAGACACCUACGGGUGGCAGCAGUCGAGUAAUUUUUCUCAA